RNAcentral lists this long non-coding RNA (4856 nucleotides) under Sus scrofa (pig). RNAcentral's name for it is "lncRNA (ENSSSCG00000059518.1)". The record is from RNAcentral. Lineage: Eukaryota; Metazoa; Chordata; Mammalia; Artiodactyla; Suidae.
AUGCUCAGGUUUGGAUGUGGGACACAGGAAAGACAGCACCGAGCUGCUGGUACGUGAUGCAAAAGCUGGGCUGCAUGAAGCGGUUUCAUUUACUGAGGUUGGAUGUGUGCCCAGAUUGCCAUAGGAGAAUUCAGGAAAACAGUAAGGAGAACCUCAGAACUGGUUGGGGGGAACAGCCACAGGGGGCAGAAGAAUAAAUACAUCUGAAGACUGUGCUUCCAGGAAUGAAAGGACUAGCCUCCGGGGAACAGUCAGGAGCCCCCCACACCCCCACCGGCCCUCUCCGUUUCUACUUGAGGUUAUCUGUGUGCUCAUCCUAAUUCUGAUUCAGAGUAACUGUAAGACUGUAAUUUGGCUGCAAGAGGAGAGAGAGGGCGAGGCAGGAAGAAGCCUUAGCCUGCCUUGCCUGGCGGUUUGUAAGCUUAGCAAGGAGAGUAAGUGUUUUUCUUUUCCUAUAAUGUUACCCAAAGAGAAAGAGCCUUGUGGAUUACAGCCAGGGUGGCUUUUUAAAACGUAUCUGCUGAGUAUCUAUCAUGUGGGACAGACCAGGGAGCUUUUAGGAAGCACAGGUUUUGCGACUCACAAUACGAAUUUAAAUUUGAAUGGGCCGUUUAUUGGGCUCACUUCCUAGAACGUUUUCUGAUAAUUAACUCUCUCAUCACGCUGCUCCACCUCAUGUCUUUGUUUGUAAUGUUAGUGGGUUUGCCAGAGAUGCUAAGUGUGUAAAUGCUGAUGGCCCCGAGAGGCAGUGCCUCAGGUUAGGUGCCUGCGAGGAAGUGGUGCUUGAGGAAAUGCUAAGUAAAGACAAUCAGACCUUGAGACACAGACAGACUCGUCGCACAAUCCGUAUUGAUUGUGCUUCCCCAGUAAACAGAGAAAAAAGAGGAUUUUACAGAAGGUAGGAACUGAGUUUCCUGGAUAAGAGGGAAUGGGGCAUCAGAGGAAAGUUAUAGGAUUACGGCAGAGACAUUUCAGCUCAAAGGUGAGCAGACUGGCAUUUACAGGGAAGGAUGUGAGGAUACACAUGUCUCCUACGGGCAGCAAAAAAAAAAAAAAUUACCAAUGGGUCAAGGGCAGUUAUCUUGCUACAGGCGUUUUAAAUGUGGGUCUUUACAGCCAUGCAUGAAAUAAGUUCCAGAUGGGCCAAAAUGUUAUUAUUUGUUUCUGCCAUCAAAAUGUGCCCCUUGGUAAUGAGCAGACAAUGCCAGGGAAAAGGAGGGAAAGGAAUAUUAUGCUGCCAACAGUAGCAUCGUCUGUAGUGACAACACCGUGGUAAGAAAGGAACAGGAUGAAAGGAGGUAUCGCUAGUGACCAGCCUUGAUGACCACGUGCUGCAACUGGAGUUAGAAAUUUGGAAGAAUCUCUGGGAAAAUCACUUCUGAGAGAAGAGCAGGUCAAUCAACACUUCACGUGAAAUGGGGCGAGUUAGGGACCUUCCAUCCUUACGGCAGCGAUGAGGCUUUUUUGUAGUUCUUAAGAGCAACCGCCUAAUGCACGAAUGGAGGGAAAGAAACAGAUGGAGGACCCCGGAACUCAGGUUAGCAGACAUUUAUUUCUAAGUCGUAUGUUUUAGGCAGACCUCGGGUCCCGUUAAAGAGAGAAGGACUGCCCGUGACUGCGGCGCAGGAAUUCUCUGGACUCUUCUAGCCAGAAGACGCACCAGCUGAGAAGGCUUCAACUGAAGAUCACCGUUGCUUAGAUGUGGGAGCCUGCUCCGAGCAUCCAGGCUUUCAUCUGCAGGAGAUCAAGUGGAGCCGUCGAAGAAAGAACAACUCCCAGCCCCUCCUUGUGCCAGUUCAAACCGAGACCCACGGGGGGACAGAUGUCCCAGCGCGAUCUGCUCACAAGAUGAGCGGUGGGGCCCACAGCCCCAGCUCGUGGUCCUCGCCCUCUAAGACUUUAUCGUUCCAAGUACCGUCUGCUCAGAAAUAACCCGAAUGCAGCCCCAGCCUCCUCUUUUCUUGCCUCCUCCCAUCCUCUCCACCUCGCUCUCGCCUCCUGGGCACUGGCUGGCUUUCCGCUCAAGGAACAGGGCAGGCGAGCCCUGUUCUCUCUAGGCUCCCUUUGCCCGUGUGUCCUGCCUCACUGCAGCGCCCUGCGGGGCUCACGGUCUUCCUUCCUCAGUGUCCGUAAAAGUGGGACUUGAUCCACGCGGGCUUCCCAGGGCACCUUCUGCAGGACAGCUCUGCCCCCACCCCACCUCCGUCUUUUUGAUCCUGUUUCAUCGUCUGUAGAUUCUUAUCUCCACCAGAUAGACUGGGUAAUUUUAGACUCUUUCCUUGCUUCUGCCCCUUGAAUGUGACCUUUCUGAAAGCAGAGUCUUGAUCCAUUUUGUUUGUACCCAUCUCCCAAGCCUAGACUAGUCGCUGGCUCUUAGUAGGUGUGCAAUGAAUAUUUGUCGACUAUAUGAAUUUGAGGAAAAGCACAAAAUGCCCUUUUGGACUGAAGAUGAAAGACACAGCGGCUCCAGUUGGCAGAAUCACGGCGGCUUUGGGAAGAUGAUGUGAAUUUACCAAGUGCCCUGGUCAGUGGUGGUGAAAGGUUGUAGCAGAUGACUCAUAAUUAAAUAUCUUUCACACACUGGGUUUUUGCACGUGCACGCACACAGAUGCACAAGCCAUUCGGCUAGUUUCUAAACUAGAGGACACCCCGUUAAAUUUGAAGUUUAGAUACACAAUGAAUAUCUUUAUUAUAACUAGGUCUCAUGCCAUAUUUAGGGAAACUUAUAGCAAUUAUUUCUUUAUUGUUUAUCUGAAUUUAAAUUUAACUGGGCACCCUAUAUUUUAUCUAGCAAGCUUAUGUAUAGGGAACAACAUAAUGAGAGGUAUGGGUGAUUUUUCAGAGCUCAGAAUUUACAUAAUUAAUGUAGGAAAGACAAAGCAGGGAAUGGCAAAAGCUAGAAUUCAUUCACAUUCUCCGCCCGCUGCAGCUCUGGGGCAGAUUCAGGGUAUUUAUCUUAUAGCCACACUCCCAGAUGAGGUUUUGUGUUUUUUCCCAUUUUAGAAUCUCCCUUAACUGGACUCUCUUACAGUUUUUGAGAAUUCUAAGAUGUAUUUAUUUUAAUGUUGCUUUUUUGUUCCCCAUACUGUCUCCAGAAUUUCAUAGAGGACCUUGUCCGAAAUGACUCACAGUCUAUGGUGGUGGCUAUUUGGCUUUCUUGAUAUCUUUUUAUCAAAUAUAACUCUCAAUUCCACGCUCUUUAUUUGGGACACAUUUCUUUAGUGCUAAUUCUUAGCAUUAAUGCUGACCAAUGAUGGGAAUCCCUUUUAAUAGAUUGUAAUUUUAAAAUUACAGUUAUGUUGAAAUUGAAAUAACCACAAGAUCGUUGCCAAAACGACUCACGAAAAGCUUAUUUCAGAAAAACAGAAGCAUGACUGAAAAUGAUAUGGACAAAAGAAGAAUAUUUCUGUUUAGCAGCUAAAGAGAUGCUUUUGUAAGUUUAAAACAUAAAACUUUGAGGUUGUAAGAUUCUUGAUGGCUUUUUAAAGUUAUAAAUUAAUUUUUAAAAAAUUAUUUCAAAUUUCGUGCAUAUAGAGAGGAAUUAUGAAUAUUUCAAGUUGCUUGCUUUAAAUAUUCGCAUGAAAUGCAAUGGCCUUGAGUGGGACUCUCUGACCGCCAAGGCUUAGAAGUACUUUGGUAGGUCAUACGACCGACGGAAGUCAGACAAUUACCAGCAAAUGUAUUCGGUGUGCUGUCAAGUUUUAAAACCCAGUAUUCAAAGAAGGGAGAGACCAUCGGGACUGGGACAGUUGGAAAAGCUUCGCCGAGAAAGGGGGGGCUCAAUGUCUGCCGUGGAGGGUGGACUGCGGGCGUUUUCUCCGAGAGAAGGGUGACCGUAAGGCCAGGAAGAAGCAGUCUGCACGCAACUUCGGAGAGGAAAUAAGAAUAAGAGGCUGUACAAGAGCCAGAGAUGAUGGAGGACACAAGGAAAAAGUAGAACUGCUUCUGUUCGGAAUUUCUGGGCCGUAAUCCUAGACGAGAAGCACAGACUCUAGACCUAAGGUCACUGGCUGCAGAGCUGUCAUACAUGCCACCACGGGAGUCACGUUCAUUGCAAAGUCGGCUCCGCAAAGCUGGCUCCGAACUUGGGUGUACCUCUCCCAGCCGAAGAGACCGCAGGAACUGGCAUUUUCCUUCUUCCAGCGCUCCUUUAAGGAAAUCAUCAUCCUUCUCAGAUGUUUGAGCUUGUGGGGUGACUUCGACUCAGAAUGAAGACCCGCAGACUCCUGUCUGUGGCUACAAAUGGAUAUUUAGGUCUCUGAGAAUUUCAAGUGAUUGGCCGCUUUGAGACCAGAAGGUGAGAGACGAGCCUCAUCCUGCGUUUUGGCCACAGGCGGGUCGAAUCGGGCACUAAGAUGCCUUUCCAAGCAUUAGUCUCCUUAAGACCAGGCACACUGUUCAGAGGGCUGCCCCUUCCUGGCCAUUGUCCCCCACGAAAGAGGAAGGUAUUUGGGGAAGAUGUAUUUUGCCAGCUCGUCCAUCGGAGAAUAUUUGUUCACUAAUGUAUUUCGUGAACACUGUACAAGUUACCCGGGACAGUUCCUUCUGAUCAUGUACCGCCCAGAUUUACACUCCGUGACUUCGUAGAAGAUGCAGCUCUCAUCCCCGGUGUGAGCAGUUGUGCGGCGGCGGCGAUUUGCAGAAUGAAGCUCUUCUUUGCAGACACUGUAAUUAGCACUCGUCUUAUUUAUACAUCUCCCUCACCAUGGUGUGUCCCCUUUAAAAAUAUUUUUAUUUAAAAUGGCAUGCAAGGAAAUAGCUCGGCACGCGUAGGGGAGAAAAAAAAAGAAGAAACAACAAACUGCUGAUAAAUCCAUCUGUUGAGAAACCGCAGUACACAAAUUAAAAGAGUAAGU